UCAGGACUACAGCAGAAGACAGCAUCACCUCUGAAGACCCCCCCCCAACUCUGGACGUCCAGCAGCCGACUGCAGGAGUGGGUGUCGGAGGCCAGUCCUCUGUCAUGGAUGACAUAGAGGAGUGGCUGUGUACUGAUGUGAAAGGAGACGAAGGGGAAGAAGGCGUGACCAGCGAAGG
Molecule: long non-coding RNA, 178 nt
Organism: Notothenia coriiceps (black rockcod)
Lineage: Eukaryota; Metazoa; Chordata; Actinopteri; Perciformes; Nototheniidae
Exons: 3
Source: RefSeq, a predicted model, not a curated record